CACUGACAUUAGAUACCCGGGUAGUCCCAGCCGUAAACUAUGCGCGUUAGGUGUAUCGGUGACCACGAGUUACCGAGGUGCCGAAGGGAAACCGUGAAACGUGCCGCCUGGGAAGUACGGUCGCAAGGCUGAAACUUAAAGGAAUUGGCGGGGGAGCACCACAACAGGUGGAGCCUGCGGUUUAAUUGGACUCAACGCCGGGAAGCUCACCGGAUAGGACAGCAGAAUGAUUGCCGGGCUGAAGACCCUGCAUGACUAGCUG
Molecule: ribosomal RNA, 262 nt
Filed under: uncultured archaeon
Lineage: Archaea
Description: partial 16S ribosomal RNA
Rfam family: Archaeal small subunit ribosomal RNA
Source: RNAcentral